UGCAUGGAACAGGGGUACUGCUGAUGCGGUUGAGAAAUACCCUUUAAACCUGUUAGUUAAUACUAUCGUAGGGAGUUUCUAUUCAAAAAAG
This 91-nucleotide non-coding RNA is filed under the name [Mycoplasma] mobile. Its description in RNAcentral is "Mycoplasma mobile TPP sequence". It matches the Rfam family "TPP riboswitch aptamer (THI element)". Rfam says of the family: Vitamin B(1) in its active form thiamin pyrophosphate (TPP) is an essential coenzyme that is synthesised by coupling of pyrimidine and thiazole moieties in bacteria. The previously detected thiamin-regulatory element, thi box was extended, resulting in a new, highly conserved RNA secondary structure, the THI element, which is widely distributed in eubacteria and also occurs in some archaea. RNAcentral also lists the same sequence under 1 other name. The record is from RNAcentral. Lineage: Bacteria; Bacillati; Mycoplasmatota; Mycoplasmoidales; Metamycoplasmataceae.